Molecule: ribosomal RNA, 1255 nt
Filed under: metagenome
Description: SSU rRNA
Rfam family: Eukaryotic small subunit ribosomal RNA
Source: RNAcentral
UUAUCGGAAUGAGAACAAUUCAAAUCCUUUAACGAGGAUCUAGCGGAGGGCAAGUCUGGUGCCAGCAGCCGCGGUAAUUCCAGCUCCGCAGGUGUAUAUCUAUGCUGCUGCGGUUAAAAAGCUCGUAGUUGGAUCUGCGUGCUCGGAACUGGUUGGCUCACUGAGUUCAAACUGGUCUCCGGCGCUUUAUUGGCUGGUUUUCCCUUGAUGCUCUUAACCGGGUGUCUUGGGUGGCUAGCACGUUUACUUUGAAAAAAUUAGAGUGCUCAAUACAGGCGUAAAGCCUUGAAUAGUGGUGCAUGGAAUAAUAGAAUAGGACCUCGGCUCUAUUUUGUUGGUUUUCGGAACGCGAGGUAAUGAUUAAGAGGGACAGACGGGGGCAUUCGUAUUGCGACGUUAGAGGUGAAAUUCUUGGAUCGUCGCAAGACGGACGACUGCGAAAGCAUUUGCCAAGAAUGUUUUCAUUAAUCAAGAACGAAAGUUAGAGGUUCGAAGGCGAUCAGAUACCGCCCUAGUUCUAACCGUAAACGAUGCCAACUAGCGAUUCGCAGGCGUUAAACAACGACCUUGCGGGCAGCUUCCCGGAAACGAAAGUGUUCGGGUUCCGGGGGAAGUAUGGUUGCAAAGCUGAAACUUAAAGGAAUUGACGGAAGGGCACCACCAGGAGUGGAGCCUGCGGCUUAAUUUGACACAACACGGGAAAACUCACCCGGCCCGGACACCGUAAGGAUUGACAGAUUGAGAGCUCUUUCUUGAUUCGGUGGGUGGUGGUGCAUGGCCGUUCUUAGUUGGUGGAGCGAUUUGUCUGGUUUAUUCCGAUAACGAACGAGACUCUAGCCUACUAAAUAGUGGGCGGAUUCUUUCUGUCCGCAACACUUCUUAGAGGGACAAGCGGUGUUCAGCCGCACGAGAUUGAGCAAUAACAGGUCUGUGAUGCCCUUAGAUGUCCGGGGCUGCACGCGCGCUACACUGAAGGAAUCAGCGUGCUUUCUGACCUUGCCCGAAAGGGCUGGGUAACCCGAUGAAAAUCCUUCGUGAUUGGGAUAGGGACUUGCAAUUAUCUCCCUUGAACGAGGAAUUCCCAGUAAGUGUGGGUCAUAAGCUCGCGUUGAUUACGUCCCUGCCCUUUGUACACACCGCCCGUCGCUGCCCGGAACUGAGCCGUUUCGAGAAGAACAGGGACCGUCGUUGAAGGGCCUUAACGGGCUUUUUUCUGAUAGAAACUGUUUUAAUCGCAGUGGCUUGAACCGGGCAA